AGGACGAACGCUGGCGGCGUGCUUAACACAUGCAAGUCGAGCGGAAAGGCCCUUCGGGGUACUCGAGCGGCGAACGGGUGAGUAACACGUGAGCAACCUGCCCUUAGCUUCGGGAUAGCUCCGGGAAACCGGAAUUAAUACCGGAUAUGACUAUGGCCGACAUCAGCCAUGGUGGAAAGUUUUUCGGCUAGGGAUGGACUCGCGGCCUAUCAGCUAGUUGGUGAGGUAACGGCUCACCAAGGCGACGACGGGUAGCCGGCCUGAGAGGGCGACCGGCCACACUGGGACUGAGACACGGCCCAGACUCCUACGGGAGGCAGCAGUGGGGAAUAUUGCGCAAUGGGCGAAAGCCUGACGCAGCGACGCCGCGUGGGGGAUGAAUGCCUUCGGGUUCGUAAACCCCUUUCAGCAGGGACGAAGCGAAGUGACGGUACCUGCAGAAGAAGCGCCGGCUAACUACGUGCCAGCAGCCGC
RNAcentral lists this ribosomal RNA (474 nucleotides) under uncultured bacterium. Its description in RNAcentral is "SSU rRNA". It matches the Rfam family "Bacterial small subunit ribosomal RNA", at positions 26 to 518 of the family's 1533-position model. The record is from RNAcentral.